GGCUGGUUAGCUCAGUCAGUUGAGCAUAGUGCUGGCAACGCUAAGGUUGUGGGUUCGAUUCCCAUUCGGUCC
Molecule: transfer RNA, 72 nt
Filed under: Apaloderma vittatum (bar-tailed trogon)
Lineage: Eukaryota; Metazoa; Chordata; Aves; Trogoniformes; Trogonidae
Rfam family: tRNA
About the family: Transfer RNA (tRNA) molecules are approximately 80 nucleotides in length. Their secondary structure includes four short double-helical elements and three loops (D, anti-codon, and T loops).
Source: Rfam by way of RNAcentral